RNAcentral lists this ribosomal RNA (305 nucleotides) under uncultured bacterium. RNAcentral's name for it is "bacterial SSU rRNA". It matches the Rfam family "Bacterial small subunit ribosomal RNA", at positions 335 to 632 of the family's 1533-position model. The record is from RNAcentral.
GAUCCUACGGGACGCAGCAGUAGGGAAUUUUCGGCAAUGGGGGGAACCCUGACCGAGCAACGCCGCGUGAAGGAAGAAGGAAUUCGUUCUGUAAACUUCUGUUAUAAAGGAAGAAAGACGGAUGGAGGAAAUGACAUCCGAGUGACGGUACUUUAUGAGAAAGCCACGGCUAACUACGUGCCAGCAGCCGCGGUAAUACGUAGGGGGCAAGCGUUAUCCGGAAUUAUUGGGCGUAAAGAGGGAGCAGACGGUAGUGAAGGUCUGAGGUGAAAGCCUGCAGCUUAACUUCAGUAAUCCAUUGGAAA